Molecule: ribosomal RNA, 468 nt
Filed under: uncultured bacterium
Lineage: Bacteria
Description: partial 16S ribosomal RNA
Rfam family: Bacterial small subunit ribosomal RNA (bases 14-372)
Source: RNAcentral
GACGAACGCUGGUGGCGUGCUUAACACAUGCAAGUCGAACGGAAAGGCCCUGCUUUUGUGGGGUGCUCGAGUGGCGAACGGGUGAGUAACACGUGAGUAACCUGCCCUUGACUUUGGGAUAACUUCAGGAAACUGGGGCUAAUACCGGAUAGGAGCUCCUGCUGCAUGGUGGGGGUUGGAAAGUUUCGGCGGUUGGGGAUGGACUCGCGGCUUAUCAGCUUGUUGGUGGGGUAGUGGCUUACCAAGGCUUUGACGGGUAGCCGGCCUGAGAGGGUGACCGGGAACAGUGGGAAUGAGAGAAGGCGCAGAGGCAGAAGGGAGGAAGAAGGGGGGAAGAGGGAGGAAGGGGCGGAAGAAUGAUGCAGCAACGCCGAGGGAGGGAGGAAGGGCGUAGGGGUGGAAACAGCGGGAGCCGGGGACGAAGAGGGAGGGAAGGUAAGGGGGAAAGAAGAAAAGGCGAACGGAGGG